GUACGCUAUUCUAGAGUUUGAUCCUGGCUCAGGAUGAACGCUGGCGGCGUGCAUAACACAUUCAAGUCGAACGAGGUAGCAAUACCUAGUGGCGGACGGGUGAGUAACGCGUGAGCAACCUGCCCUUGUGUGGGGGAUACCGUCUGGAAACGGACGUUAAUACCGCAUAACGUUACGGAAUCGCAUGGUUCUGUAACCAAAGAUUUAUUGCGCAAGGAUGGGCUCGCGUUGGAUUAGAUAGUUGGUGAGGUAACGGCCCACCAAGUCUGCGAUCCAUAGCCGGACUGAGAGGUUGAACGGCCACAUUGGAACUGAGAUACGGUUCAG
RNAcentral lists this ribosomal RNA (327 nucleotides) under uncultured bacterium. RNAcentral's name for it is "bacterial SSU rRNA". It matches the Rfam family "Bacterial small subunit ribosomal RNA", at positions 1 to 334 of the family's 1533-position model. The record is from RNAcentral.